Long non-coding RNA from Solanum pennellii, 1371 nucleotides. RefSeq lists it as uncharacterized. The record is from RefSeq and is a predicted model, not a curated record. The transcript has 3 exons. Lineage: Eukaryota; Viridiplantae; Streptophyta; Magnoliopsida; Solanales; Solanaceae.
GGGGGCUGGAAAUUCUUCAUCAAAUUGUUGAGAAACAUUAAGGUUUCGAUCAUUGAAGUGUUUGGAAGGCGAAAUUGUUGAAGGCUUGGAUUCUUCCUUUAAUCGAAGUGAGGCAGUUCCUCAACUUUCAAGGGAAGUAUGAACACUCCAAGGAAUGCGAAUCAAAUAGUUGAGGAGGGAGUUGCUAAUGCAAGAGCUCCUCCCCAUGAUUAGCAAGUUCCUACACUUGAUGAAAAUGCUAAUGUUGAUCAAGCCAUGGCUAACCCUCCACCUAUGGCUUAGGCGGAGAUGAGGGAUAGUCUUGCUCAAAUGGCCCAAGCCAUGACUACUCAAGCACAAGCUGCAACAGUUCAAGCCCAAGCUUUGACGUCUCAAGCCAAUCGGGAUAUUUCUCCCUGUCCUCAUCAUCAAGUCACUACUAUGUCUUCCCGUCUAAGGGACUUCACUCAGAUGAACUCUCCUACUUUCUAUGGGUCUAAGGUUGAAAAAGACCCCCAAGAAUUCUUUGAUGAGGUCUGCAAGGUGCUAUUCUAUGGGGGUGACUUCAAGUGAGAAGGCCGAGUUAGGCUCAUAUCAACUCAAGGAUGUGGCUCAAACUUGGUAUGUGCAAUGGAGGGAUAAUAGGUCAUUGAGGGUUGGUCCGAUGACUUGGGAGAUCGUUAAGGCGACUUUUCUAGAUCAUUUCUUCCCUAGAGAGAUGAGGGAGGAUAAAGUGACGGAGUUCAUCAAUCUUCACCAAGGAGGAAAGAGUGUUCAUGACUACUCUUUGGAAUUCGUUGAGUUGUCCAAAUAUGCUUUUUCUUUAGUCUCUGAUCCUAGAAACCGAAUGAACCAUUUUGUGAUGGGGGUGUCGAAGGACUUACAAGAGGAGUACAAAUCGGCCAUGCUACAUGACAACAUGAACAUUUCCUGUCUUAUAGUUUAUGCAAGAAGGGUUGAAAAGACAAGAGCUAAACGAAAAAAGUAGAGAUGCUAAGAGCGCUAGGUCAUUUGAUGAAGGCUCCCCAACGAAUAGGCUUGAGAUACAAGAUAAGCCUAAAUUUAAGAAGUGGGGUUCAAUUCAAGUCACUACAAAAUUCCCAAGAGUUAGUUGUGAUAGGAUGUCUAACCCUAAAUUUAAGAAGGGAAAAGGUUCUAAUUCACCAAAAGAGAAGACAACUUGUGGAAAGUGUGGUAUAAAUCACUAUGGUGAGUUCCUUAAGGGGAAGGAUAAUUGCUUUAGUUGUGGCAAGAAUGGUCACAAAAUGAGAGAUUGUCCAAACUUGAAUAGUCAAUACAAGAGUAGUGGCCAACCUCAACCAAAUGGUUCUAGUGAUGCUCCAAAGAACAACCGCUUUUGUGCUCUCCGCUCUAGGGGUGAGUAAGAGACCU